CAGCAACCGCGGUAAUACGGAGGGUGCAAGCGUUAAUCGGAAUUACUGGGCGUAAAGCGCACGCAGGCGGUCUGUCAAGUCAGAUGUGAAAUCCCCGGGCUUAACCUGGGAACUGCAUUUGAAACUGGCAGGCUAGAGUCUUGUAGAGGGGGGUAGAAUUCCAGGUGUAGCGGUGAAAUGCGUAGAGAUCUGGAGGAAUACCGGUGGCGAAGGCGGCCAUCUGGGACAACACUGACGCUGAGGCACGAAAGCGUGGGGAGCAAACAGGAUUAGAUACCCCGGUAGUCCCUGUCUCUUAUAC
RNAcentral lists this ribosomal RNA (301 nucleotides) under uncultured bacterium. Its description in RNAcentral is "partial 16S ribosomal RNA". It matches the Rfam family "Bacterial small subunit ribosomal RNA", at positions 509 to 807 of the family's 1533-position model. The record is from RNAcentral.